AUUGAACGCUGGCGGCAGGCCUAACACAUGCAAGUCGAGCGGAUGAAGGGAGCUUGCUCCUGGAUUCAGCGGCGGACGGGUGAGUAAUGCCUAGGAAUCUGCCUGGUAGUGGGGGAUAACGUCGGGAAACGGGCGCUAAUACCGCACACGUCCUGAGGGAGAACCUGCGGGAUCUUCGGACUUCACGCUAUCAGAUGAGCCUAGGUGGUAUUAGCUAGUUGGUGGGGUAAAGGACUACCAAGGCGACGAUCCGUAACUGGUCUGAGAGGAUGGUCAGUCACACUGGAACUGAGACACGGUCCAGACUACUACGGUAGGCAGCAGUGGGGAAUAUUGGACAAUGGGCGAAAGCCUGAUCCAGCCCAGCCGCGUGUGUGAAGAAGGUCUUCGGAUUGUAAAGCUCUUCUAGUUGGGAAGAAGAGCAGUAAGUGUAUACCUUGCUGUUUUGACGUUACCUAAUGAAUAAGCACCGGCUAACUUCGUG
RNAcentral lists this ribosomal RNA (484 nucleotides) under uncultured bacterium. Its description in RNAcentral is "partial 16S ribosomal RNA". It matches the Rfam family "Bacterial small subunit ribosomal RNA", at positions 30 to 507 of the family's 1533-position model. The record is from RNAcentral.